This 395-nucleotide ribosomal RNA is filed under the name uncultured bacterium. Its description in RNAcentral is "bacterial SSU rRNA". It matches the Rfam family "Bacterial small subunit ribosomal RNA", at positions 29 to 429 of the family's 1533-position model. The record is from RNAcentral.
ACGAACGCUGGCGGCGUGCUUAACACAUGCAAGUCGAGCGGUAAGGCCCUUUCGGGGGUACACGAGCGGCGAACGGGUGAGUAACACGUGGGUGACCUGCCCUCAGCUCUGGGAUAAGCCUGGGAAACCGGGUCUAAUACCGGAUAUGACUCCAUGACGCAUGUUGUGGGGUGGAAAGCCUUGUGCGGCUGAGGAUGGGCCCGCGGCCUAUCAGCUUGUUGGUGGGGUGAUGGCCUACCAAGGCGACGACGGGUAGCCGGCCUGAGAGGGCGACCGGCCACACUGGGACUGAGACACGGCCCAGACUCCUACGGGAGGCAGCAGUGGGGAAUCUUGCGCAAUGGGCGAAAGCCUGACGCAGCGACGCCGCGUGAGGGAUGACGGCCUGGUGUAAC